RNAcentral lists this non-coding RNA (66 nucleotides) under Rothia terrae. RNAcentral describes it as "Actino-pnp RNA". It matches the Rfam family "Actino-pnp RNA". Lineage: Bacteria; Bacillati; Actinomycetota; Actinomycetes; Micrococcales; Micrococcaceae. The record is from RNAcentral.
CGGUCCUCGGUAGUGGCUUCCGGAAUCCGCAUUGCGCGGGCGUCCGUGAGCCUCGAUCGAAGACCG